UGUAACAGCAACUCCAUGUGGAU
This 23-nucleotide non-coding RNA is filed under the name Petromyzon marinus (sea lamprey). Its record names the gene pma-miR-194-5p. Lineage: Eukaryota; Metazoa; Chordata; Hyperoartia; Petromyzontiformes; Petromyzontidae. The record is from miRBase by way of RNAcentral. RNAcentral also lists the same sequence under 2 other names.